GACGGGGGGGGGCAAGUGUUCUUCGGAAUGACUGGGUGUAAAGGGCACGUAGGCGGUGAAUCGGGUUGAAAGUGAAAGUCGCCAAAAAGUGGCGGAAUGCUCUCGAAACCAAUUCACUUGAGUGAGACAGAGGAGAGUGGAAUUUCGUGUGUAGGGGUGAAAUCCGUAAAUAUACGAAGGAACGCCAAAAGCGAAGGCAGCUCUCUGGGUCCCUACCGACGCUGGGGUGCGAAAGCAUGGGGAGCGAACAGG
This 252-nucleotide ribosomal RNA is filed under the name uncultured bacterium. RNAcentral describes it as "partial 16S ribosomal RNA". It matches the Rfam family "Bacterial small subunit ribosomal RNA", at positions 524 to 776 of the family's 1533-position model. The record is from RNAcentral.